CCCUGGUUCAUAAGCUACCUCUUCUUGUCAGCGGCUGAGGAGGACAAAUCUGCCGGUUUAAUGGGCUUUAGCUCUCGUUUCAGGGUCGAUCUCCCCAAUAAACGGUGAAUUACCGUAGGCAUGCACUAUCCAGUGUCCACACCUUAAUGAAAAAUUUUUAGGGACCAAAAUAACCCCUUGCACUUUAAGAUUUUACUUUCACACGAGGUCAGCAGCUUGAAAGUGGCUAACGUUUCUUCUCGAAAUCUCGCCUAUUUUCCGGUCACCUGUCAUUCUUGUUCUAACCUUUUAAUAGACCAAAUCGC
This 305-nucleotide unclassified non-coding RNA is filed under the name Hevea brasiliensis (rubber tree). The record is from RNAcentral. Lineage: Eukaryota; Viridiplantae; Streptophyta; Magnoliopsida; Malpighiales; Euphorbiaceae.